GAUGAACGCUGGCGGCGUGCCUAAUACAUGCAAGUCGAGCGAACAGACGAGGAGCUUGCUCCUCUGACGUUAGCGGCGGACGGGUGAGUAACACGUGGAUAACCUACCUAUAAGGCUGGGAUAACUUCGGGAAACCGGAGCUAAUACCGGAUAAUAUAUUGAACCGCAUGGUUCAAUAGUGAAUGACGGUUUUGCUGUCACUUAUAGAUGGAUCCGCGCCGCAUUAGCUAGUUGGUAAGGUAACGGCUUACCAAGGCAACGAUGCGUAGCCGACCUGAGAGGGUGAUCGGCCACACUGGAACUGAGACACGGUCCAGACUCCUACGGGAGGCAGCAGUAGGGAAUCUUCCGCAAUGGGCGAAAGCCUGACGGAGCAACGCCGCGUGAGUGAUGAAGGUCUUCGGAUCGUAAAGCUCUGUUAUUAGGGAAGAACAAAUGUGUAAGUAACUAUGCACGUCUUGACGGUACCUAAUCAGAAAGCAACGGCUAACUACGUG
RNAcentral lists this ribosomal RNA (497 nucleotides) under uncultured bacterium. RNAcentral's name for it is "partial 16S ribosomal RNA". It matches the Rfam family "Bacterial small subunit ribosomal RNA", at positions 28 to 507 of the family's 1533-position model. The record is from RNAcentral.